Halocaridina rubra (Hawaiian volcano shrimp) is the source of this 76-nucleotide non-coding RNA. The record is from the annotation of a GenBank genome assembly. NCBI's taxonomy places the organism in Eukaryota, Metazoa, Arthropoda, Malacostraca, Decapoda, Atyidae.
ACCGAAUCAUGUGGUGUAGUUGGUAGCGCCUUUACAUAAUAAUUAUAUGUCCCAGGUUCAAGUCCUGGCCUGGGUA